GCAUACAUACAAAUCCUGCAAGUUAAAGCCACAAGAGCCAAUACUCCUCUUAUUCAGCUUUCAAUCUGCAGUCCACAAGGAUCUAAUUUAUGCACAAAAUCUUUUAUAUUCAAUUUUUCAUACGAAUGAACUGAUACUAAGAAUGUGAUAGACAAAAAAAAAAAAAAAAAAAAAAAAAAAAAAUUAAAGUCCAAAUGCCCAAAACCAGUUAAAACAAUGCCCAAUCCAAUGAAGAAAGUUUUCUAUUGCCCAUAUCAAUGAUUCUUAAUAAAAGACAUUUUCACCAUUUUUAGUAAUAACACCAUAGUAAGCCUUGUUUUUUUACAGAUCAAGAUUCCACUCUCUCUCUCUAUCUCUCUUCUCUCUCCUCUCUCUCUCAGAUGUGAAUCUGAAUCCACUUGUCGGCGAAGCACCGGCGACCUGAAGCACUUGCAAACCACCGCACCGGUGACGAGGCCUUGAUGCCAACAAGGCUUCUCCGAUAAGAUCUCCUCCUCCCUCGAGGACGUCCCGCCUGUACUCGUCUUGGAUCUGCUCCUCGACUAGGCCAACGAGACCAAGGUUCAUAGGCAGCCUCCGCCUCCGCCUCCAUGGCCAGAUCGAAGGCGUCGGGUGCGUGGUGAGGGAGGAGGAGUGGAUCCGAUGAGGGAGGUGAAGCAGUUUCGAUGAGGGAGGAGGAGGUACGGUGAGAGAGGGCGCAUGGUAAUGGAGUAUCCGAUCAGUGAGGGUGCAUGGCUAUGCGGUAGGUGUAGUUGUAUUUUUUUAGCUGAUAGGUAGCUCGAUAAUUCAUGUUGUAGUUUUGACUCGAUUAUGUUCUAAGUAUUUCUUCCUUUUUAUUACAAAAAGCUGAAAUAAGUUGAUUAUUAGUGGUUAGUAACUGAUUAUUGGGAGUCAGUAAUCAAGUUAUUAGGAGUCAGUAACUGAUUUAUUGGGAGUCAGUAACUGAUUUUUGGGGGGUCAGUAACCGAUUAUUGGGAGGCGGGUCAAGACGGGUCAACGCGGGUUAAGACGGGUCAAGGCGCCUCAAUGCGGCCACUUGGUGGCCUUAGAUGGGUCAAGGCGCGCCAAGCGGCCGCCUUGACCUGCCAAGGAGCUGCCUUGACCCUCCAAGCCCCGUCUUGGGCCGCCUUGACUUGCCUAGGCCUUCCUAGGUUGGCCUAGCGUAGCCAAAGGGCCGCCUUGACCCGUCUAGGGCCGCUAAGGGGCCGCCUUGACCUGCUUAGGGCCGCUAAGCGGUCGCCAUGACCCGCGUAAGCCCGCCUUGACCCAUUCUGACCCGCCUUAACCCGCCUUGACCCUCCUUAACCCGCCUUGACCCUCCUUGGCUCGCCUAGGGCCACCAAGGGGCCGCCAUGACUCACCAAUGGGCUGCCAUGACCCGUCUAGAGCCUCCUUGACCCGCCUUGGGCCAUUUUGACCCUGCCAGUCCCGCCUAGGGCUGCCUAGGGUCGCUAAGUGGACGCCUUAACCCCACUUAGGGCUGCCAUGGGGCCACCUUGACCUACUUAGGGUCGCCUUGACCUACCUAGGGCCACCAAGCGGCAGCCUUGAUUCGCCAAGGAGUUGCCUUGACCCUCCUAGACCCACCUUGGGCUGCCCUGACCCUCCUAGGCUCGCCUAGGGCAGACAAGGGGCCGCAUUGACCCUCCUAGGGCCGCUAAGGGGCCACCUAGACCUGCCUAUGGCCGCCAAGCGGUCACCUUGACCCGCCUAGGCCUGCCUUGACCAGCCAUGGUCCGCCUUGACUCGCCUUAACCCGCCUAGACCCUCCUAGGCUCGCUUAGGGCCACCAUGACCCUCUUAGGGUCGCCUUGGGCAGCUAUGACCCUCCUAGGCCCGCCAAGGUGCUGCCUAGAGCCGCCAAGGGGCCGCCUUAACCCACCUUAACCCGCCUUAACACUCUUAGGCUCGCCGACUGCCCGUCUACGGCCGCCUUGACCCUCCUAGAGUCACCUAGGGCCACCAUGACCCUCCUAGGGUCGUCUAGGGCCGCCUUAACCCACCUUGACCCACUUUAACCCACCUUGCCUUAACCCGCUUGGACCCUCCUAGGUUUGCCUUGACCCACCUUAACAUGCAUUGGCCCGGCUUAACCCGUCUUGGAUCGCUUUGACCCGCCUUGACCCGCCAUGGCCUACCUUGGGCCGACUUAACCUGACUUGGGUCACCUUGACCCUCCUAGGGCAACCAAAAGGCCGCCUUGACCCGUCUAGAGCCACCAAGAGGCCACCUUGACUUGCUUAGGGCCGCCAAGCGACCCUCCUAGACCCGCCUUGGGCAGCCUUGACCCUCCUAGGCUCGUCUUGACUCGGCUAGGGCCACCAAGCGACCGCCUUGACCCGCCAAGGAGCUGUCUUGACCCUCUUAGACACACCUUGGACCGCCUUGACCCUCCUAAGCCCUCCCAGGCUCGUCUAAGGCAGCCAAAAGGCCGCCAAGGGGCUGCCUUGACCAUUCUAGACCCGCCUUGGGCCGCCAUGACCCUCCUAGGCCUUCAUAGGCACGGCUAGGGCAGCAAAUGAGCCGCCAUGACCUGCCUUAACCAGCCUUGACCUUCCUAGGCUCACCGAGGACCACCAAAGGGCCACCAUGACUCGCCAGGGGGUUGCCAUAACCCUCCUAGGCACUUCUAGGGCAAUCUUAACCCGUUUAGGGCCGCCUUGAUCCGCUUUGACCCUCCUAAGCCCUACUAGGCCCGCUUAGGGCAGCCAAGGGGCCGCCAUGACCCUCUUAAGGUUGCCAAAGGGAUCCCUAGGGGAGCCAAGUGGUCGCCUUAACCCUCUUAGGGCUACCAUGGGGCCGCCUUGACCAGUCUUGGUUCGCCAUGUCCCUCCUAUGCCCUCCUAGGUUCGCCUAAGGCAGCCAGAGGGACUUCUUGACCAGCCUAGACCCUCCUUGACUCUCCUAGACCCUCCUAGGCUCGCCUAGCACAGUCACGGGGCCGCCUUGACCCGCCUAGGCCUACCUUGACCCUCCUAGGGCAACCAAGGGCCCGCCUUGACCCUUCUAGGGCAGCUAAGGGGCUGCCUUGACCAGCCUUUGGGUUGCCAAGGGGCCGCCUUAACCUGCCUAGGGCCACCAAGCGCCGUCAUAACCCGCUAAGGAGCUGCCUUCACCCUCCUAGACCCGCCUUGGGCCGCUUUGAGCCUCCUAGGACCUUCUAGGCUAGCCUAGGGCAACAAAGGGGUCGCCUUGACCCGCCUAUGGCCGCCAAGCAGUCGCCUUGACCCGCCUUAACCCGCCUAGACCCUCCUAGGCUCGUCUAGGGCCACCAUGACCCUCCUAGUCCCGUUUAGGGCCGCGUUGGGCCGCUUUGACCCUCCUAGGCCCUCUUAGGCCUACCUAGGGCUGCCAUGACCUUCCUAAGGCCGCUAAGGGGUUGCCUANNNNNNNNNNNNNNNNNNNNGCAAUGACCUCUUAGGGCCGCCAAGGGGCUGCCUAGGGUUGUCAUUGGGCCGCCUUAACCUGUCUAGCCCCGUCUAUGGCCGCCUUGGGUCGCCUUGACCCACCUUGACACUUCUAGGGCAGCCAGAGGGCCGCCUUAACCAACCUAGGCCGCCAAGUGGCUGCCUUAAUACUCCUAGACCCACCUUGGCCGCCUUUACCCUCCUAGGCCCUCUCAAGCUCGCCUAGAACAGCUAAGGGGCAGUCUUGACCCGGCAAGGGCCGCAAAGGGGCCACCUUGACCUGUCCAGGGCCGCCAAGGGGUCGCCCUGACCCGCCUAGGCCUGCCUUGACCCGCCUUAGGCCGGGUUGACACACCUUGACCCGUCUAGGCUCAGGUUGUCACGCCUUAACCCGUAUUAGCCUGGCUUGACCCGCCUUAACCCGCCAUGGCCUGCCUUGGGCCACCUUGGGUCGCCUUGACUCUCCUAGGGCAGCCAAAAGGCCACCUUGACCCGUCUAGUGCCACCAAGCAACCACCUUGACGCGCCUUAACCCGUCUUAACCCGCUUUAAAUCGCCUUGACUCUCCUAGGGCAGCCAAGGGGCCGUCAUGACCCUCCUAGGGCCGCCAAGCGACCACCAUGACGUGCCUAGAGCCGCUUUUGACCCGUAUUGGCCCGCCUUAACCAUCCUUGGGCCGCCUUGACCCGCCUUGGGUCGCCUUAACCCUAUUAGGGCAGCUAAGAGGCCGCAUUGACCCGUCUAGGGCCACCAAGCGGCCGCCUUGACGUGCCUUGACCCACCUUAGGAAGCCUUGACCCCCCUUGACCCGCCUGGACCCUCCUUGGUCAGCCAAGGGACCACCUUGACCCGCCUAUGGCCGCUAAAGUGCCGCCUAGACCUGCCUAGGGCCGCCAAACCGUCGGCUUGACCCGCCUAGGCCUGCCUUGACCCUCCUAGGCUCAUCUAGGGCCACCAAGGGGCCACCAUGACUCGACAAGGGGUCUAGGAGGGUGAAGCGGCUGCCUUGACCUGCCUUGGGCAGCCAAGGGGCCGCCUUGACCCGCCUAGGGCCGCUAAGGGGUCCCCAUGACCAGCCUAGGCCUGCCUUGACCCUCUUAGGCUCGCCUAAGGCCACCAAGGGGCCGCUAUGACUCGACAAGGGUCGUCUUGACCCUCCUAGGCCCGUCUAAGGUCGCCUUGACCCGCCUAGGCCCUUCUAGGCUCGCCUAGGGCAGCCAAAGGGCCGCCCUUUAACCCUUCCGCCUUAGGGCCGGCCUUUAACCUUCGUCCCGUACGUCCAAGCGGCCGUUAUGGACCGCCUUAAACCCUGCCUUGACCCGCCUUGACCCUCCUAGGCUCACCUAAGGCCACCAAGGGGAUGUCAUGACUCACCAAGGGGUUGCCCAUGACCCUCCUAGGGCCGCCAAGGGGUUGCCUUGACCCGCUGAAGGCUGCCAUGGGGCCGCCUUGACCUGCUUAGGGCCACCUAGCGGCGACCUUGACCCUGCUAAGGCCUCCAAAGGGCCGCCUUGACCUGCCUAGACCCGGCUACGGCCGCCUUGACAUGUCUAGGGCUGCGAAGCGACUGCCUUGACCCGGCUAGGGCCACCAAGGGGCUGCCUUGACCCGUCUAGUGCCACUAAACGGCCAUCUUAACACACUUUAACCUGUCUUAACCCGUCUUAACCCACUUUAACCCUCUUAGGCCCGCCUAGGGUAGCCAAGCGGCCGCCAUGACCCUCCUAGGGCCUAAGCGGCCGCCUUGACGUGCCUACAGCCGUCUUGACCCGCAUUGGCCCACCUUGACCAUCCUUGGGCCGUCUUGACCCGCCAUGGCCUGCCUUGGAGUCUUGGCUGCCCUAGAGGCCACCUUGACUCAUCUAGGGCCACCAAGCGGCCGCCUUGACCCACCUUAGGAAGCCUUGACCCCCCUUCACCCGCCUGGACCCCCCUUGGUCAGCCAAGGGGCUGCCUUGACCCGCCUAGGGCCGCUAAAGGGGCACCUUGACUUGCCUAGGGCCGCCAAGCGGUCGGCUUGACCCGCCUUGACUAGCCUUGACCCGCCUUAACCUGCCUUGACCCUCUUAGGCUCGCCUAAGGCCACUAAGGGGCCAUCAUGACUCGACAAGGGGCCUAGGAGGCUCAAACGGCCACCUUGACCCGCCUAGGGCCGUUAAGGGGCCACCUUGACCUGCUUAGGGCCAUCCCUUGACCCGCCUUGACCUUCCUAGGCUCGGCUAUGGCCACCAAGGGGCCGUCAUGACUCGAUAAGGGUCGUCUUGACCCUCCUAGGCCCGUCUCAAGCCGCAUUGACCCGCCUAGGCUCGCCUAAGGCUGCCAAGGGGCUGCCUUGACAUGCCUAUGGCUGCUAAGGGGCCGCCUUGGCCUGCCAAAGGACGCCAAGCGGCAGUCAUGACCCGCCUAGGCCUUCCUUGGGGAACGCCUUGACCUGCCUCGACCCGCCUUGACCCGCAUAUGCUCACCUAGGGCCACCAAAGGGAUGCCAUGACUCACCAAGGAGCCGCCAUGACUCGCCAAGGGGUUGCCCAUGACCCUCCUAGGGCCGCCUUGACCUACCUAGACCCUGCUAGGGCCACCUUGACCCGCUUAGGGCUGCCAUGAGGCCACCUUGACUUGCCUAGGCCCGUUUAGGGCCGCCUUGUCCCUCCUUGACUCGUCUUGGCCCGCCUUUGGCCUCCUUGGCCCUCCUAGGCUCGCCUAAGCCAUCCUUGACCAGCGUUGGGCCGCUAAGGUGCUACGUUGACCCUCCUAGGCCCUCUUAGGCUCGCCUAGGGCAGCCAAUAGGCCGCCUUGACUCGCCAUGACCUUCCUUGACCCGCCUAGACCUCCCUUGACCCGCCUUGAUCCGCCUAUGCCCAUCUAGGGCCGCCUUGACCCGCUUUGACCUGCCUUGACUCGCCUGGACCCUCUUAGGCUUGCCUAGGGCCACAAUGACCCUCCUAGGCCCGUCUAGGGCCGCCUUGGGCCGCUUUGACCCUCCUAGGCCCGCCUAGGGCAGCCAAGGGUCUGCCAUGACCCUCCUAGGGUGGCCAAGGGGCCGCCUUGACCCUCCUUAACCCGCCUUGACCCUCCUAGGCUCACCUAGGGCCACCAAGGGGCCGCCAUGACUCGCAAAGGGGUCGCCAUGUUCCUCCUAGGCUCGUCUAGGGCCGCCUUGACCUGUCUAGGGUCGUCUUGACCCGUCUUGGGCCGCCUUAACUCGUCUUGGGCCGCUUUGACCCUCCUAGGCCCGCCUAGGGCAGCCAAGGGGCCGCCUUGACCCUUCUAGGGCCGCCAAGGGGCUGCCUUAACCCGCUUAGGGCUGCCAUGGGGCCGUCUUGACCCGCUUAGGGCUGCCAUGGGCCCGCCUUGACCCGUUUAGGGCCUCCUUGACCCGGCUAGGGUCACUAAGGGGGCCGCUUUCACCCGUCUAAGGCCGCCAAGGGGCAGCCUUAACUUGCUUAUGUACUGUCGCCAAGGGACCGCCUAGGGCCGCCUUAACCCGAGUAGGGUCACCAAGAGGCCGCCUUGACCCUUCUAGGGUCGCCAAGAGGCCGCCUUAACUUAUCUAGGUCCACCAAGGGCCGUCUUGACCCGGCUAGGGCUUCAGUUCUUCUCAUACUGACCUCGGGAACCUAAAUUUUGAAAAAGCAUAUGUGUUACCCAUCUUUUCAAGUUUCACCAAAUUUCAGCCAAAACCUCUUGUUAUAGUACACGAGUUUUUGAGAAAUUUCACUAUUUCUGAACGUUUGGUUUUUUUCCAAUCUUAUGUGCUUUUACACAUCUUCUAACAUCAAUUGAACCAUUGUAGCAUCAAAAGCUCAUGACCUUUAUCAUUUUACUCACAAUCGAGCCUAAAUGACUCGCGACAACUUUGUUUGGUAAGGGUGUUGGAACUGUUGCUAUCAGUGGAACAAGGUGAAUCGCCAUGCUUGUGGAGUCUUCAAUUCUUCUCAUACUAACCUCGGAAACCUAAAUUUUUAAAAAGUGUACGUGCUACCCAUCUUUUCAAGUUUCACCAAAUUUCAGCCAAAACCCCUUGUCCCCACACGAGUUUUUGAGAAAUUUCAAUUUUACUGAACGUCUGUUUUUUUUCCAUUCCUAUGUGCUUACACACAUCACCUAACAUCAAUUGAACCAUUAUAACAUCAAAAGCUCAUGGCCUUUAUCAUUUCACUCACAAUCGAGCCUAAAUAUAGAUCAACUAACAUGAAUUGAACCAUUAUAGCAUCAAAAGCUCGUGGCCUUUAUCAUUUUACUCGCAAUCGAGCCUAAAUGACUCACGACAACUUUAUUUGGUAAAGGGGUUGGAACUGUUACUUUCAGUGGAACAAGGUGAAUCGCCAUGCUUUUGGAGUCUUCAAUUCUUCUCAUACUGAC
Molecule: long non-coding RNA, 7769 nt
Filed under: Fragaria vesca (wild strawberry)
Lineage: Eukaryota; Viridiplantae; Streptophyta; Magnoliopsida; Rosales; Rosaceae
Description: long non-coding RNA (FVES_LNC002158)
Source: RNAcentral